UGAAAUCGAGCUGUGCUUUCAUAAAUCUCAGAACCUGCACAAUUUCACAGGGAUCUUUGCUCUUCUUCCAGCACUGCCAUUUAAUUCCAUGGAUCCUGCAGCUGUAGCUGCUUCUGAUCAAUAUUGGUAAUUGAUUAUAAUUGUUUGAUAAAGCAGGACUGCUUUCCCUGACACCCUGACAAUUCAUCUGGCUCAGAAGGUGUCGUGUUAGCCUGGCCACUGCAGCUUAAACUGCUUUCCAUGGGAAAAUGGCUGGAGAAAACAGGCUGAACUGCACUAACAACAGGAAUACGUGGUUGAUGUAGGAUGUAGAAUCACUGAAAUGGGUAAUCUGGGGAAGAUUAAAGUGUUUGAAGAUUUUUUUCCUGAUGUCAGAAUGGACACAGGGAGAGCUGGUCCUGCCUUGGUGCCAGGGAUUGGGCUGGAGGCAGCAGCAGUGACCUGGUGUCUCUGGACGAGAGGGAAGUGAGAAUCUGCAGCUGAGACACCCCAGAUGUCUACAGUGUUCUCUAAAAUUGUCUUUGUUUCUAAAAUUCUGUCAGUGGGAUGGGAGGCUGGCACCAGCAGCUCUGAUCUGGAUCCUGUGAGUCUGAGAGAAGCAGUGCCAAAGGAUUACGAGCCCUUUAGCCCGUUGCGCUGGGUGGGAAGGAAAAUCAAGUGAGCCAUUGGAAACUGCUCUCAGACUGCAGAUUCUGACCAGACUCGUGUCAGGGCUUCAGGACUUUCAUUCUUCACUUAUGGAUGUCAGGUGGGACAAUGUCAGAGCCUCAGGUGUGUGGGAUCUGCUGCUCCCUCCUUGCCCACAAAGCCUCAUCCAUUGGAGAGCAGAGUUGGGUUGCAUCAGCUUGUUUUGUUCCUGAGGGAUUCAUGUAGACAAGGACUUAUCUCCCUGUUAGUUUCUAUACAGAAAACAUUCUGAUUAUUCUGCUGUUUUAGGUUUCCUGGGUGUUAAAUCUUUUGAUAUCUUCCUUGUCCUGUUUGAUUUGUGGACAACUCCCAGUGUUUGAAAGUGUGAGAACUUUGUGGACGGUUGGGAAGGCAACAGAUCCAAUCUCUCACUGGGAG
This 1065-nucleotide long non-coding RNA is filed under the name Cyanistes caeruleus (blue tit). RNAcentral describes it as "lncRNA (ENSCCEG00000013854.1)". The record is from RNAcentral. Lineage: Eukaryota; Metazoa; Chordata; Aves; Passeriformes; Paridae.